RNAcentral lists this ribosomal RNA (433 nucleotides) under uncultured bacterium. Its description in RNAcentral is "partial 16S ribosomal RNA". It matches the Rfam family "Bacterial small subunit ribosomal RNA", at positions 29 to 507 of the family's 1533-position model. The record is from RNAcentral.
AACGAACGCUGGCGGCAGGCCUAACACAUGCAAGUCGAGCGAGGACUUCGGUCCUAGCGGCGGACGGGUGAGUAACGCGUGGGAACGUGCCCUUUGCUUCGGAAUAGCCCUGGGAAACUGGGAGUAAUACCGGAUGAGCCCUUUGGGGGAAAGAUUUAUCGGCGAAGGAUCGGCCCGCGUUGGAUUAGGUAGUUGGUGGGGUAAUGGCCUACCAAGCCGACGAUCCAUAGCUGGUUUGAGAGGAUGAUCAGCCACACUGGGACUGAGACACGGCCCAGACUCCUACGGGAGGCAGCAGUGGGGAACCUUAGACAAUGGGGGAAACCCUGAUCUAGCCAUGCCGCGUGAGCGAUGAAGGCCUUAGGGUUGUAAAGCUCUUUCAGCUGGGAAGAUAAUGACGGUACCAGCAGAAGAAGCCCCGGCUAACUCCGUG